RNAcentral lists this ribosomal RNA (470 nucleotides) under uncultured bacterium. RNAcentral describes it as "partial 16S ribosomal RNA". It matches the Rfam family "Bacterial small subunit ribosomal RNA", at positions 28 to 507 of the family's 1533-position model. The record is from RNAcentral.
GACGAACGCUGGCGGCGUGCUUAACACAUGCAAGUCGAACGGUGAACGAGGGAGCUUGCUCCCUCAGGAUCAGUGGCGAACGGGUGAGUAACACGUGAGCAAUCUGCCCCGAACUCUGGGAUAAGCGUUGGAAACGACUUCUAAUACCGGAUACGACGCGGGAGGGCAUCCUCUCCGCGUGGAAAGAACUUCGGUUCGGGAUGAGCUCGCGGCCUAUCAGCUUGUUGGUGAGGUAACGGCUCACCAAGGCGACGACGGGUAGCCGGCCUGAGAGGGUGACCGGCCACACUGGGACUGAGACACGGCCCAGACUCCUACGGGAGGCAGCAGUGGGGAAUAUUGCACAAUGGGCGCAAGCCUGAUGCAGCAACGCCGCGUGAGGGACGACGGCCUUCGGGGUGUAAACCUCUUUUAGCAGGGAAGAAGCGAAAGUGACGGUACCUGCAGAAAAAGCACCGGCUAACUACGUG